Molecule: long non-coding RNA, 2944 nt
Organism: Amphiprion ocellaris (clown anemonefish)
Lineage: Eukaryota; Metazoa; Chordata; Actinopteri; Pomacentridae
Exons: 3
Source: RefSeq, a predicted model, not a curated record
ACACACAGAGCAACUCCAGCACGAAAACAAAACCCUGCAUUAAAAAACAACUGUAAACAGCGACGGUGUGCAUUGCUCUUCACGGAACUCUCUGUUCUUCAUAAUUUUAAUAUGACAGCCAGACCUGUACCGUGGGUGAAUGAAGAGGUCGAGACUUUUCUGUCUAUGGUGGCGGACCAAAGAAUACAGAGGGAGCUGGACGGAGAAUGUUUAUCAGGAGGUCUCUGAGCGGAUGGCCGCUCACAUAUACAGUAGACUGUAUAUAAAGAGGCUAGAAGCAGUGUAGGGAGAAGCUGAAAAAGCUCAAAAGUGACUAUCGGUCCACCAAGGACCACAACGGCCGGCGUGGGUCAACCAGGAGGUGUUAAUGGUGUUUAAUGGAAGCUAUUUAAUGGCACGGCACCGCCAGCAACAGGAGGGAGACUCAGCCGCUGCAUGUUGGAGACGUUCGAAGACGAAUCCCUUUCCACAUGCGAAGCCUACUCCACCUCCGUCGCGGAGCCCCCAGCUCCCCUGCCUCCUCUCCACCAGCACCAGCGGCUCCUCUGCAGCACCAGCUUCGACACCAGUACCAGCUCGGACACCGACGCUGUCAACAUCAAUGUCUUAUCACCGGCAAGAUGAAAAGGGGCCACAGAAAAUUGGACCUUCCUAGCGUACUUGUGGAAAUGCAGGCUGAGGAGGAGCGGAGUCAUGCCCAGCAUGACGAGAACAUCCAGUUGCUCCUCAGCGAGGCAAGAGAGAAUGAAGCGGCCUUGCCCAGAAUGCUGCCUUCAACCAGUCAUUCCUGGGUGUGCUGGGGCAGCUGGUGCAGGUAGUCCUGGGUGUGCUGGGGGAACUGGGGUAGCUGGGUAGGCAGUGGGCAGCCGACAAGUGUGAGCGAGUCCACCUCCCAUAGACUUGAGAUUUACAGGUGCUGGUCAUAUAAUUAGAAUGUCAUGAAAAAGCUUGUCUUUUGGACAACUGUCAGGUCAGCAGUCUUCCCCAUGAUUGUGUAGCCUACAGAACUAGACUGAGAGACCAUUUAAAGGCCUUUGCAGGUGUUUUGAGUAGUGAUGGUCCUCUGAUACCCGAGGCUUCGACACAUGCUCUGUAGCUCAUGAAGCAAACGUAUUGAGCCACUGUGCCGAGGCGUGGUUUGGUCACGUGACUCGUGACGUUUGAAUCACUUCAGUGACGUUUGAAGCACUCAGCUGCUUCGAAUCACCUGAUUGGUUCGGUUUGUUAUGUGAAUCACUCAGCGGGAUUGAGUGUUCCGGGAUAGGAGAUCCCUAUUUAGUGUUCAUUUGAAUUGUUUUUUGCAGAAUAGAUUGGUUUUUUGCUGUUGUUUUCGCUUUGAGAGUUAGUCGUAUGUCGGAUUUCGUAUUUCGUAGAGAAUAGAUAGAUAGAUAGAUAGAUAGAUAGAUAGAUAGAUAUUCCCAACUCACCACCCCCAUGACACAACACCUGGCACAGAACCUUGUCAGGUGCUUAGCUGACAGACUACAAACCAAAGAAAAGAACAGUUCACUGGCUGUUGCUACACUUGUGGCUCUGCAGUUCAAAACUUUUGGAUUCACCAGUCAGAGUGGCAGCCAGUGUGAAAGAACGUUUAAUAACAGAAUGCACAACAAUUAACAUAAAGAAUGCCAAGCAGCAGUGAUCUACAUCACAAGCACCACCACAGCCUCGUCCUCCACCACCAGCAGCACCUUCCACAGAUAUUUUUUUUCUCUUCUGAAUAGGGAAUGACUGACAUUUCUGGUGAUGAUGAUCUUCAAUAUUUUUCAGUUCAACCGUGGAGCCUAUUGGACGAAGACACAAGUAGAGCCUGGCAAAUGCAAAAAGCCACAGCGAAUGCAAUUGUAGAAAGAACGGCAGACCCACUGGUUUACUGGGCAACCCACAAAACUGUUUACCCAAACUUGUACAAUGGAGCCAAACAUUUCCUGUGUACCUCAGCCUCAUCUGUGCCGUGUGAACAGGUUAGAAAAAAAAUUCUAAGGCUGGGGAGAUAGUGAGUAAAAGAAGGAACUGCUUGAGUCCCAAAACUGUUGAUAAAUUAUUUCUCAAUAAAAACUCAUAACCAGUUACGUAAGCACACCCUCUUUACUGACCUCUUUACCAAUAAACCCCCAGACAUACUUUGCCAAAAUGCCUAAUAAUCCAUAAAAUCUUUAUUUGCACCAGCCCCAUGUGAAAAUGACAUCAUUUGUAGAGCAUCUCAUGAAUGUAGCAGCACCGUUUAAAUGUUUCAUAACACAGAAUAUAAGUGAAGAGUAUAUAGGGGUUACAGACAAACAUGGCAAAUAAGAAACGUGCUCUUCAAUAGUUUUUGUCAUUAUUAUUACUAGUAAUAUUAUUUUUGGGUCCACUACAACCCAUACAAUCAUCUAGUGUAGUCAAACAGGAAUAUGUGCAUGGCGAAUCAAAUACAAAACAAUCCAUGAACCAACGACCACGUCUUGAUUGCACUUCAGUUUAUUGACCACUAGAUGUCCUACUCGAGCACUGUGUGUCAUUGAGGCCUCGAGUAAUGAACCAUGUUUUGAAUGACGUGUCGAAGCUUCAACAAAGCCUCGAUCAGCCAUCACUAGUUUUGAGUUAAUUAGCUGAUUAGAUGUGUCUUCAAUAUUGAACCUUUCCACAAUAUUCUAAUUUUCUGAGAUACCAAAUUUGGGAUUUUUGUUAGUAUUCAGGUAUAAUCAUCAAAGAGAAAUAAACAUUUGAAAUAUAUCAGUCUCUGUGUAAUGAAUGAGUAUAAUAUACAAGUUUCACUUUUUGAAUGGAAUUACUGAAAUAAAUCAACUUUUUCAUGAUAUUCUAAUUAUAUGACAAGCACCUGUAAUUGUAUGUAGUUUUACUUUUAGCCCUCCACUGUAGGACAGGCCCACCACAGUUUGUACUUUGCACAUUGUAAAUAGUUUUGAUUUUGCUGCUGACUAAUAAACUAUUUUGUGACUUA